GAAGCGAUGGUGUUCUUGACGUCUGGACCACGAGGGUUUGCUUUACGUUGGGCAUGAAGAAACAAUCAUCUACCGCGGUUCAGUCAUCAAGAACACCUUUGCUUU
Molecule: microRNA precursor, 105 nt
Filed under: Pinus taeda (loblolly pine)
Lineage: Eukaryota; Viridiplantae; Streptophyta; Pinopsida; Pinales; Pinaceae
Description: miR951 stem-loop (pta-MIR951)
Gene: pta-MIR951
Source: miRBase by way of RNAcentral